GCAACCAAAGAGAGGAAAGUCUGCACUUCAUUGUGCGAGGUUGGGUUCCAGGCUGCCAUUUAAUAUCAAAUGUAGUGUACGGUAUCCUACAUAAUACUACUAUCAAAGAAAACCACGGAUGAAUUAUUCAUUCUGUAAAAGCUCCUGAACCAGAUGUCCGUCACAACAUUUCUUCUCGUUAGUCCAAUUAAACCAACGAGGCCGCGAAAGGGAGACAACUGGGCUUAAUUGGAGAUGCACAGUGAGGCUGCUGCAGACUGACACCUCUGAGGUCUCCCUUCUCAGCAGAUCACCUGAGCCCUGAUGUGUGCAGCUUCCCGCGCACGUGUGUAAAAUAGACCUUUACCUAGCGAGUGUUUUGCCACCAGGUCUGUGCGUUGAUGUGAAAACACGAGGGAGAGACAAAGCCGACGAGCCGUGAGGACGCGUGUUUGGGAGGGAGUGAGGUCUGAGGUCCUCCUGGUCUCAAGCAUCCAGUGCGUAAGAUGCUUACGUGUGGUUACAGAAAAGCCUGUAAUUUAUGUGCUCGUGUGAACCAGAAAUGAAUUCUGGGACUGCCGCAAGGAUUAACCCCGGGACGACCUCGGCUGCAAAGACACGGCUAGCUGCAGCUUCGCCAAAAAGAAGCCAAACGGAGGCCGUGCACCUGUCAAGCGCCUCAUGGCCUAAGUACAUGCUCUUCAUCGACCACUGUCCUUCAUUGGCACAUGCUCUUCACUGGCAGGAGGAGCAGCCACUGUCUUCCUCAAGGGCGGACGUGUGUUAUUACAUCUGAUAAGUUAUCACUCUCAAACAGAACUAAUUUCUUUAAAAUGGAAAAGACAAACUGAGCCAAGAUGUGCUGUGCAAACGAGAUCUGUUUAUUUGAGGAGUUUGAGUUUUGCACCGGCCACAGCUGCGUCUACUGAUGAUUACAUCAGGGAAUCCUGGGAGAAUCUUACUCCCCGCUUUACUUCUAUCAGUCUAAUAAGAAGCCAAAAAUGUGUCUGUCUAAGAAGAAGAAAAAAAACUAGUAUCCUCGCUCUGCAUUACACAGACAUAUUUUCACUUUUCAGUCUUUCUGGCUACGAAAUUGAAGAAUGUAUUACCA
This is a long non-coding RNA of Gasterosteus aculeatus aculeatus (three-spined stickleback), 1090 nucleotides long. The record is from Ensembl. NCBI's taxonomy places the organism in Eukaryota, Metazoa, Chordata, Actinopteri, Perciformes, Gasterosteidae.